Molecule: long non-coding RNA, 242 nt
Filed under: Brassica rapa (field mustard)
Lineage: Eukaryota; Viridiplantae; Streptophyta; Magnoliopsida; Brassicales; Brassicaceae
Description: long non-coding RNA (BRAP_LNC008938)
Source: RNAcentral
AAUCUGUUUGUGUGAUUCCGAUCUGUUCUUAUUGUUUUAGAUCUGUUCUUACUUGAUCUAAAUCUCAUCAUCUGUUAUCAUAUCAUCUCUGAUCUUGUGUUGUUUGAUCUCUUGAAACCUGAUCCGUGCAGUGCAAGUUUGAUUGAUUUCGUUAUUGUUAUUUUUUCUUUUGAAAAAUCUGCUCUUGAAUCUGAAAUCGAAAUCUAUCUCUCUAUUUUUGUGGUCUAGUUCGAAAAUCAAUC